Molecule: ribosomal RNA, 443 nt
Filed under: uncultured bacterium
Lineage: Bacteria
Description: partial 16S ribosomal RNA
Rfam family: Bacterial small subunit ribosomal RNA
Source: RNAcentral
CCUACGGGAGGCUGCAGUGGGGAAUAUUGGACAAUGGAGGAAACUCUGACGCAGCAACGCCGCGUGAGUGAUGAAGGUCUUCGGAUUGUAAAGUUCUAUUCUAAGGGAAGAAGAAAGUGACGGUACCUUAAGAAUCAGCCUCUGCUAACUACGUGCCAGCAGCCGCGGUAAUACGUAGGAGGCGAGCGUUAUCCGGAAUGACUGGGCGUAAGGGGUGCGUAGGUGGCUGGGCAAGUCAUGAGCGUAACUCCAAGGCUCAACCUUGGAACUACUACUGAAACUGUCUGACUUGAGUGCAGGAGGGGCAACCGGAAUUCCUAGUGUAGCGGUGGAAUGCGUAGAUAUUAGGAGGAACACCAGUGGCGAAGGCGGGUUGCUAGACUAUAACUGACAUUGAGGCACGAAAGCGUGGGGAGCAAACAGGAUUAGAUACCCUUGUAGUC